Molecule: ribosomal RNA, 487 nt
Filed under: Enterobacter hormaechei
Lineage: Bacteria; Pseudomonadati; Pseudomonadota; Gammaproteobacteria; Enterobacterales; Enterobacteriaceae
Description: bacterial SSU rRNA
Rfam family: Bacterial small subunit ribosomal RNA
Source: RNAcentral
AUUGAACGCUGGCGGCAGGCCUAACACAUGCAAGUCGAACGGUAACAGGAAGCAGCUUGCUGCUUCGCUGACGAGUGGCGGACGGGUGAGUAAUGUCUGGGAAACUGCCUGAUGGAGGGGGAUAACUACUGGAAACGGUAGCUAAUACCGCAUAACGUCGCAAGACCAAAGAGGGGGACCUUCGGGCCUCUUGCCAUCGGAUGUGCCCAGAUGGGAUUAGCUAGUAGGUGGGGUAACGGCUCACCUAGGCGACGAUCCCUAGCUGGUCUGAGAGGAUGACCAGCCACACUGGAACUGAGACACGGUCCAGACUCCUACGGGAGGCAGCAGUGGGGAAUAUUGCACAAUGGGCGCAAGCCUGAUGCAGCCAUGCCGCGUGUAUGAAGAAGGCCUUCGGGUUGUAAAGUACUUUCAGCGGGGAGGAAGGCGAUAAGGUUAAUAACCUUGUCGAUUGACGUUACCCGCAGAAGAAGCACACGCUAACUCC